RNAcentral lists this ribosomal RNA (253 nucleotides) under uncultured bacterium. Its description in RNAcentral is "partial 16S ribosomal RNA". It matches the Rfam family "Bacterial small subunit ribosomal RNA", at positions 524 to 776 of the family's 1533-position model. The record is from RNAcentral.
UACGAAGGGGGCUAGCGUUGCUCGGAAUCACUGGGCGUAAAGCGCACGUAGGCGGAUUGCUAAGUCAGGGGUGAAAUCCUGGAGCUCAACUCCAGAACUGCCUUUGAUACUGGCGAUCUUGAGUCCGGGAGAGGUGAGUGGAACUGCGAGUGUAGAGGUGAAAUUCGUAGAUAUUAGGAAGAACACCGGUGGCGAAGGCGGCCAUCUAGCUCGGUACUGACGCUCAGGCGCGAAAGCGUGGGGAGCAAACAGG